GCAAGAUUAAAACUCAAAGGAAUUGACGGGGACCCGCACAAGCGGUGGAGCAUGUGGUUUAAUUCGAUGCAACGCGAAGAACCUUACCACCUAUUGACAUCUUGAUCGCGGAGCUUGUAAUGAGCUCUUUCAGUUCGGCUGGAUCAAUGACAGGUGUUGCAUGGCUGUCGUCAGCUCGUGUCGUGAGAUGUUGGGUUAAGUCCCGCAACGAGCGCAACCCUCGUCCUUAUUUGCCAGCACGUUAUGGUGGGAACUAUAAGGAUACUGCCCGUGACAAACGGGAGGAAGGUGGGGACGACGUCAAGUCAUCAUGGCCCUUACUAGGUGGGCUACACACGUGCUACAAUGGCAGUGACAAUGAGCAGCUUAUCCGCGAGGAUUGGCUAAUCUUUAAACACUGCCUCAGUUCGGAUUGGAGUCUGCAACUCGACUCCAUGAAGUUGGAAUCGCUAGUAAUCGUGGAUCAGCAUGCCACGGUGAAUACGUUCCCGGGUCUUGUACACACUGCCCGUCAUGCCAUGGGAAUUGGUCUUACCUUAAGCUAGUGAGCUAACCUUCGGGAAGCAGCUAUCCACGGUAAAAUCAGUGACUGGGGUAAAGUCGUAACAAGGUA
RNAcentral lists this ribosomal RNA (613 nucleotides) under uncultured bacterium. RNAcentral describes it as "bacterial SSU rRNA". It matches the Rfam family "Bacterial small subunit ribosomal RNA", at positions 888 to 1498 of the family's 1533-position model. The record is from RNAcentral.